AAAAAGAUAAGCUAACCCCCCCAAGCUAAUGGGUUCAUACCCCAUUUAUAAAGGUUAUACUCCUUUUCUUUUUA
RNAcentral lists this transfer RNA (74 nucleotides) under Pseudadimonia sp. BMNH 846586. RNAcentral's name for it is "tRNA-Met". It matches the Rfam family "tRNA". Rfam says of the family: Transfer RNA (tRNA) molecules are approximately 80 nucleotides in length. Their secondary structure includes four short double-helical elements and three loops (D, anti-codon, and T loops). Lineage: Eukaryota; Metazoa; Arthropoda; Insecta; Coleoptera; Chrysomelidae. The record is from RNAcentral.